AGUCGUAACAAGGUUUCUGUAGGUGAACCUGCAGAAGGAUCAUUAGUGAAAGUUUCGGGCCUGCCAUACGGACGCAAACACGUCUCUGGCGCCCAUCACUAUAUCCAUACCAACCCCUGUGCACUGUGAUGACGAAUGUCAUCGAACAAAAAAAACUCGUAUGGUUGAAUGUACGUGAAAUUGUAGGUAUAGCCUACGAACUAUACACAACUUUCGACAACGGAUCUCUUGGUUCUCCCAUCGAUGAAGAACGCAGCGAAACGCGAUAGGUAAUGUGAAUUGCAGAAUUCCGUGAAUCAUCGAAUCUUUGAACGCACCUUGCGCUCCAUGGUAUUCCGUGGAGCAUGCCUGUUUGAGUGCCGCGAAUUCUCCCUCCCCUUACGGUGGCCGAAAGGCCGAAGUAGGGCGGACGGGGUAGGAUGGGUGUUGCUGCCUGGGGAUUGUACCAGGCUCGCCCGAAAUGCAUAAGCGCCAGGACCCUCGCUACCGCUCUCUAGGGAAGAGUGGCUAAGCGACCGCUGAGCAUGGCAUGAUACGUCAUUUGCUGUGUGUGGGCGGCCGGUUGGAGAGGUGUCUGCUUUACCAGCCCUUUUUUAAUUCUGGUCUC
This 607-nucleotide unclassified non-coding RNA is filed under the name Malassezia sympodialis. RNAcentral's name for it is "sequence contains 18S rRNA gene, ITS1, 5.8S rRNA gene, ITS2, 28S rRNA gene". The stretch from base 209 to 362 matches the Rfam family "5.8S ribosomal RNA". The record is from RNAcentral. Lineage: Eukaryota; Fungi; Basidiomycota; Malasseziomycetes; Malasseziales; Malasseziaceae.